CAACGGUACGGGAUGGGCAUGCGUAACAUUAGCUAGUUGGUAGGGUAACGGCCUACCAAGGCCACGAUGUUUAGGGGUCCUGAGAGGGUGAUCGGCCACACUGGUACUGAGACACGGACCAGACUCCUACGGGAGGCAGCAGUGAGGAAUAUUGGUCAAUGGGCGCAAGCCUGAACCAGCCAUCCCGCGUGGAGGAAGACGGCGCUAUGCGUUGUAAACUUCUUUUCCAGAGGAAUAAAAACCCCCACGUAUCAAGAAAUGACGGUAGUGUAUGAAUAAGCAUCGGCUAACUCCGUGCCAGCAGCCGCGGUAAUACGGAGGAUGCAAGCGUUAUCCGGAUUCAUUGGGUUUAAAGGGUGCGUAGGCGGCUUUUUAAGUCAGUGGUGAAAUCCUGCCGCUUAACGGUAGAAUUGCCAUUGAUACUGAAAAGCUUGAGUACAUUUGAGGUAAGCGGAAUGUGUAGUGUAGCGGUGAAAUGCUUAGAUAUUACACAGAACACCAAUUGCGAAGGCAGCUUACUAAACUGAUACUGACGCUGAUGCACGAAAGCGUGGGGAGCGAACAGGAUUAGAUACCCUGGUAGUCCACGCCGUAAACGAUGCUCACUCGCUGUUUGCGAUACACAGCAAGCGGCCAAGCGAAAGCAUUAAGUGAACCACCUGGGGAGUACGAUCGCAAGGUUGAAACUCAAAGGAAUUGACGGGGGCCCGCACAAGCGGAGGAACAUGUGGUUUAAUUCGAUGAUACGCGAGGAACCUUACCUGGGCUCGAACGGUGCAGGAAUAUGGUAGUCAGCGCAGUCCUUCUUCGGACGAUCUACAAGGUGCUGCAUGGUUGUCGUCAGCUCGUGCCGUGAGGUGUCGGGUUAAGUCCCAUAACGAGCGCAACCCUUAUCGUUAGUUGCCAGCGGGUCAAGCCGGGGACUCUAGCGAGACUGCCACCGUAAGGUGUGAGGAAGGUGGGGAUGACGUCAAAUCAGCACGGCCCUUAUGUCCAGGGCUACACACGUGUUACAAUGGCCGAUACAAAGGGCAGCUACCAGGUGACUGGAUGCUAAUCUCAAAAACCAGUCCCAGUUCGGAUUGUAGGCUGCAACUCGCCUACAUGAAGUUGGAAUCGCUAGUAAUCGCAGGUCAGCAUACUGCGGUGAAUACGUUCCCGGGCCUUGUACACACCGCCCGUCACAUCA
RNAcentral lists this ribosomal RNA (1189 nucleotides) under uncultured bacterium. RNAcentral describes it as "bacterial SSU rRNA". It matches the Rfam family "Bacterial small subunit ribosomal RNA", at positions 213 to 1404 of the family's 1533-position model. The record is from RNAcentral.